GAAUUCGCCCUUAGAGUUUGAUCCUGGCUCAGGACGAACGCUGGCGGCGCGCCUAACACAUGCAAGUCGAACGGAGCUUAGAGAGCUUGCUUUUUAAGCUUAGUGGCGAACGGGUGAGUAACGCGUGAGUAACCUGCCCUAGAGUGGGGGACAACAGUUGGAAACGACUGCUAAUACCGCAUAAGCCCACGGUACCGCAUGGUACUGAGGGAAAAGGAUUUAUUCGCUUUAGGAUGGACUCGCGUCCAAUUAGCUAGUUGGUGAGGUAACGGCCCACCAAGGCGACGAUUGGUAGCCGGACUGAGAGGUUGAACGGCCACAUUGGGACUGAGACACGGCCCAGACUCCUACGGGAGGCAGCAGUGGGGGAUAUUGCACAAUGGGGGAAACCCUGAUGCAGCGACGCCGCGUGGAGGAAGAAGGUUUUCGGAUUGUAAACUCCUGUCGUUAGGGACGAUAAUGACGGUACCUAACAAGAAAGCACCGGCUAACUACGUGCCAGCAGCCGCGGUAAAACGUAGGGUGCAAGCGUUGUCCGGAAUUACUGGGUGUAAAGGGAGCGCAGGCGGGAAGACAAGUUGGAAGUGAAAACCAUGGGCUCAACCCAUGAAUUGCUUUCAAAACUGUUUUUCUUGAGUAGUGCAGAGGUAGAUGGAAUUCCCGGUGUAGCGGUGGAAUGCGUAGAUAUCGGGAGGAACACCAGUGGCGAAGGCGGUCUACUGGGCACCAACUGACGCUGAGGCUCGAAAGCAUGGGUAGCAAACAGGAUUAGAUACCCUGGUAGUCCAUGCCGUAAACGAUGAUUACAUAGGUGUUGGGGGAUUGACCCCCUCAAGUGCCGCAGUUUAACACAAUAAGUAAUCCCACGUGGGGAGUACGAACCGCGAGGGUGAAACUCAAAGGAAUUGACGGGGGCCCGCACAAGCAGUGGAGUAUGGGGUUUAAUUUGAAGCAACGCGAAGAACCUUACCAGGGCUUGACAUAUGGGUGAAGCGGGGGAGACCCCGUGGCCGAGAGGAGCCCAUACAGGUGGUGCAUGGCUGUCGUCAGCUCGUGUCGUGAGAUGUUGGGUUAAGUCCCGCAACGAGCGCAACCCCCGCCGCGUGUUGCCAUCGUGUGAUGCCGGGAACCCACGCGGGACCGCCGCCGUCAAGGCGGAGGAGGGCGGGGACGACGUCAAGUCAUCAUGCCCCUUAUGCCCUGGGCUGCACACGUGCUACAAUGGCCGGUACAGAGGGAUGCCACCCCGCGAGGGGGAGCGGAUCCCGGAAAGCCGGCCCCAGUUCGGAUUGGGGGCUGCAACCCGCCCCCAUGAAGUCGGAGUUGCUAGUAAUCGCGGAUCAGCAUGCCGCGGUGAGUGCGUUCCCGGGCCUU
Molecule: ribosomal RNA, 1374 nt
Filed under: uncultured bacterium
Lineage: Bacteria
Description: bacterial SSU rRNA
Rfam family: Bacterial small subunit ribosomal RNA
Source: RNAcentral